Molecule: non-coding RNA, 30 nt
Filed under: Homo sapiens (human)
Lineage: Eukaryota; Metazoa; Chordata; Mammalia; Primates; Hominidae
Source: RNAcentral
UGUGGUCCUUGUCCGAUUUGUUGGGGCUGC